RNAcentral lists this ribosomal RNA (459 nucleotides) under uncultured bacterium. RNAcentral describes it as "partial 16S ribosomal RNA". It matches the Rfam family "Bacterial small subunit ribosomal RNA", at positions 338 to 795 of the family's 1533-position model. The record is from RNAcentral.
CCUACGGGAGGCAGCAGUGAGGAAUAUUGGUCAAUGGUCGGGAGACUGAACCAGCCAAGCCGCGUGAGGGAUGAAGGUACAGAGUAUCGUAAACCUCUUUUGUCAGGGAACAAAGGCGGGGACGCGUCCCCGGAUGAGUGUACCUGAAGAAAAAGCAUCGGCUAACUCCGUGCCAGCAGCCGCGGUAAUACGGAGGAUGCGAGCGUUAUCCGGAUUUAUGGGGGUUAAAGGGUGCGCAGGCGGCCUGUUAAGUCAGCGGUCAAAGCCCGGGGCUCAACCCCGGCCCGCCGUUGAAACUGGCAGUCUCGAGUUGGAGAGAAGUAUGCGGAAUGCGCGGUGUAGCGGUGAAAUGCAUAGAGAUCGCGCAGAACUCCGAUUGCGAAGGCAGCAUGCCGGCUCCACACUGACGCUGAGGCACGAAAGCGUGGGUAUCGAACAGGAUUAGAUACCCUUGUAGUC